Molecule: ribosomal RNA, 460 nt
Filed under: uncultured bacterium
Lineage: Bacteria
Description: partial 16S ribosomal RNA
Rfam family: Bacterial small subunit ribosomal RNA
Source: RNAcentral
CCUACGGGUGGCAGCAGUUAGGAAUAUUGGUCAAUGGGCGAGACUCUGAACCAGCCACGUAGCGUGAAGGAUGACUGCCCUAUGGGUUUUAAACUUCUUUUAUAAAGGAGUAAAACGCGGCACGUGUGCCUGUUGGCAUGUACUUUAUGGAUCAGGAUCGGCUAACUCCGUGCCGGCAGCCGCGGUUAUACGGAGGAGCCGAGCGUUAUCCGGAUUUAUUGGGUUUAAAGGGAGCGUAGAUGGGUUGUUAAGUCAGUUGUGAAAGUUUGCGGCUCAACCGUAAAAUUGCAAUUGAUACUGGCAGUCUUGAGUACAGUUGAGGUAGGCGGAAUUCGUGGUGUAGCGGUGAAAUGCGUAGAUAUCACGAAGAACCCCGAUUGCGAAGGCAGCUUACUAAACUGUGACUGACAUUGAGGCUCGAAAGUGUGGGUAGCAAACAGGAUUAGAUACCCCUGUAGUC